Molecule: ribosomal RNA, 789 nt
Filed under: uncultured fungus
Lineage: Eukaryota; Fungi
Description: eukaryotic LSU rRNA
Rfam family: Eukaryotic large subunit ribosomal RNA
Source: RNAcentral
CCCGCUGAACUUAAGCAUAUCAGUAAGCGGAGGAAAAGAAACUAACAAGGAUUCCCCUAGUAGCGGCGAGUGAAGCGGGAACAGCUCAAAUUUAAAAUCUGGGAGCCUUGUCGCUCUCCGAAUUGUAAUUUAAAGAGGCGUGCUCUUGGGCGGCGUUGAUGGACAAGUUCCUUGGAACAGGACAUCAAAGAGGGUGAGAAUCCCGUUUGGCCAUUGACGACGCUCAUCCAUGUCACGCUCUCGAAGAGUCGGGUUGCUUGGGAAUGCAGCCCAAAAUGGGUGGUAAAUUUCAUCUAAGGCUAAAUAUUGGCAGGAGACCGAUAGCGAACAAGUACCGUGAGGGAAAGAUGAAAAGAACUUUGAAAAGAGAGUUAAAUAGUGCGUGAAAUUGUUAAAAGGGAAACCAUGGGUACCGAUUAUGAGGGCGCUGGCGUGGCUAGGAGGGUUGGAGUUGGGUUGGAUGUGGAGAGCUGUAACAGGCCUCCAGCCAGCCUCACGCUCAGCCCCCUUGCCACCUCCCACGCCCUUCAUGUCAGCAUCAGUUUGGCGUGCUGCAUACGGCCUGGGGGAAGGUGACGCUCGUCUCGGCGAGUCGUUUUAUAGACCCUGGUGUCCUGCAGCGUGGCGGACUGAGGAUCGCAGCUGUGGCAUCAAGUGCGCUUGAUCUGAGGGCGGUUCUGGGUGGCACUCAACACGUUGAGUCCGCCAACCGGCUUUUGACGUCGAGCGCGCGGACCGCAGCCUAAGGAUGCUGGCUAAGGGUACUCACGGCCCCGUCUUGAAACACGG